AGCCUACUGCAGAACUAUAAGCCAAUUAA
This 29-nucleotide non-coding RNA is filed under the name Homo sapiens (human). The record is from RNAcentral. Lineage: Eukaryota; Metazoa; Chordata; Mammalia; Primates; Hominidae.